This 605-nucleotide ribosomal RNA is filed under the name uncultured bacterium. RNAcentral describes it as "bacterial SSU rRNA". It matches the Rfam family "Bacterial small subunit ribosomal RNA", at positions 334 to 933 of the family's 1533-position model. The record is from RNAcentral.
GACUCCUACGGGAGGCAGCAGUGGGGAAUAUUGCACAAUGGGCGAAAGCCUGAUGCAGCAAUGCCGCGUGUGUGAAGAAGGCCUGCGGGUUGUAAAGCACUUUUAUCAGAAACGAAAAACCGGAACUAAUAUUUCCGGCAUUGACGGUACCUGAAGAAUAGCCACCGGCUAACUAAGUGCCAGCAGCCGCGGUAAUACUUAGGGUGCGAGCGUUAAUCGGAAUUACUGGGCGUAAAGCGAGUGUAGGCGGCUGUAUAAGUCGGAUGUGAAAGCCCUGGGCUCUCCUGGGAAUUGCAUUCCAAACUGCACAGCUAGAGUUUGGUAGAGGUAAGUGGAAUUCAAGGUGUAGCGGUGAAAUGCGUAAAUAUCUUGAGGAACAUCGAUGGCGAAGGCGGCUUACUGGACCAAAACUGACGCUGAAGCUCGAAAGCGUGGGGAGCAAACAGGAUUAAAUACCCUGGUAAUCCACGCCCUAAACGAUGUCAACUAGACGUUGGGUUCAUUUGAGACUUUAGUGUCGAAGCUAACGCGUUAAGUUGACCGCCUGGGGAGUACGGCCGCAAGGUUGAAACUCAAAGGAAUUGACGGGGGCCCGCACAAGAAAU